UUUGCGUCGGCAGCACAUAACACUAAAAUUAGAACCAUGCAGAGAAGAUUAGCCUGGCCGCAGCUCAAGGCUGACACACAGAGAAGUGGAGUGUUCCACAUUAAA
Suricata suricatta (meerkat) is the source of this 105-nucleotide small nuclear RNA. NCBI's taxonomy places the organism in Eukaryota, Metazoa, Chordata, Mammalia, Carnivora, Herpestidae. The record is from Ensembl.